This is a non-coding RNA of Mycena galericulata, 91 nucleotides long. The record is from the annotation of a GenBank genome assembly. Lineage: Eukaryota; Fungi; Basidiomycota; Agaricomycetes; Agaricales; Mycenaceae.
GACAUGGUGGUGUAGUGGUAACACACGUGCAAAAAAAAAUUGAACUAAAUAGGUUAGGCAGGAGUACCUUGUUCGAUUCCAGGUCAGGUUU